Non-coding RNA from Vicugna pacos (alpaca), 707 nucleotides. NCBI's taxonomy places the organism in Eukaryota, Metazoa, Chordata, Mammalia, Artiodactyla, Camelidae. The record is from RefSeq and is a predicted model, not a curated record.
ACUUUAUUGCAGUACAAGUGGGAAGCGCGGGUGCCCAGGUGUAUGCACUUGUCCUUUUAUAAUGCUAGUGGUGCAUGCGCAGUGUUCAUAAUGCCGACUCACUCUACUGGCGCAUGCGUAGUGUUCCUAAUGCUUACUCAUGCUACUAGCGCACGCGUACAUUUACCUCUGACCAGGUGCAAGCUAUUGUGAACUUUGGCCUGAGCCCCACUUAAGGCUGCCGACAGACACAUAGGUCAGAAUCGAGAAAAAUUGCAGCUCGGAGUAUGUAUCCUAGAAGCUUUCAGAAACAAAACCAUAUUCCCCAGGGAGACCCCAAGAGGCUCUAGGCACGGAGGCAGCAGCUCACAGGUCAGAGGCUCACGACGUUAUGCAGAUGCUUCUGUAUUUGCCCACAGCUGGAGCUACCUGGAGAACUGCUUAAGCAAAGUAGGUUUGCCUGGGGAAUAUAGGGCUGCGGAGAGAGGCAGAGUAAAACCUAAUAAUAAGAGACAUGAAAAGAAAGUGUAUUGUGGAUGAAACUUGAGUGGAGAUAAAUCUGGACAACAUCUCAGGAGUGGGGAGAUAUUUGGGUACCAGAGCAGAUUGCUUAGAAGUAAGAAGAAAAGAAACCCUCCCCAGGCUGGAGAACAACUGGAAAGUCCAUAUCUAAAAAUAAACAAAGCAAACCAAUAAACACCCUCUAAUGUUACAUUUCCUCAGUGAGG